Molecule: ribosomal RNA, 266 nt
Filed under: uncultured bacterium
Lineage: Bacteria
Description: partial 16S ribosomal RNA
Rfam family: Bacterial small subunit ribosomal RNA
Source: RNAcentral
GUCCACGCCGUAAACGAUGUCUACUAGCUGUUCGUGGUCUUGUACUGUGAGUAGCGCAGCUAACGCACUAAGUAGACCGCCUGGGGAGUACGGUCGCAAGAUUAAAAACUCAAAGAAAUUGACGGGGGCCCGCACAAGCGGUGGAGUAUGUGGUUUAAUUCGAUGCAACGCGAAGAACCUUACCUAGGUUUGACAUCCACGGAACCCUCCCGAAAAGGAGGGGUGCCCUUCGGGGAGCCGUGUGACAGGUGCUGCAUGGCUGUCGU